RNAcentral lists this ribosomal RNA (500 nucleotides) under uncultured bacterium. Its description in RNAcentral is "partial 16S ribosomal RNA". It matches the Rfam family "Bacterial small subunit ribosomal RNA", at positions 30 to 523 of the family's 1533-position model. The record is from RNAcentral.
AUUGAACGCUGGCGGAAUGCUUUACACAUGCAAGUCGAACGGCAGCACGGACUUCGGUCUGGUGGCGAGUGGCGAACGGGUGAGUAAUGUAUCGGAACGUGCCCAGUCGUGGGGGAUAACGUAGUGAAAAUUACGCUAAUACCGCAUACGAUCUAUGGAUGAAAGCGGGGGAUCGCAAGACCUCGCGCGAUUGGAGCGGCCGAGAUCAGAUUAGGUAGUUGGUGGGGUAAAGGCCCACCAAGCCAACGAUCUGUAGCUGGUCUGAGAGGACGACCCGCCAAACUGGAACUGAGACACGGUCCAGACUCCUACGGGAGGCAGCAGUGGGGAAUUUUGGACAAUGGGCGAAAGCCUGAUCCAGCCAUUCCGCGUGCAGGAUGAAGGCCCUCGGGUUGUAAACUGCUUUUGUACAGAACGAAAAGGUUUCUACUAAUACUAGGAGCUCAUGACGGUACUGUAAGAAUAAGCACCGGCUAACUACGUGCCAGCCGCCGCAGUAA